This 533-nucleotide precursor RNA is filed under the name Arabidopsis thaliana (thale cress). RNAcentral describes it as "pre-miRNA 395f". The stretch from base 265 to 376 matches the Rfam family "mir-395 microRNA precursor family". The record is from RNAcentral. Lineage: Eukaryota; Viridiplantae; Streptophyta; Magnoliopsida; Brassicales; Brassicaceae.
UGGAAGAAUGUGCUUAUGUAGCACACUGAUUGGAAUAUUAAAUAUUAUCUUGGCUCCUUAUUACCAAAAUUCCGACUUGGUUCAUCCUCAUAUUUCCCGCAUGUUUUGCCAUUCAAUGAAGAAUAUAGAAUCUAUGGUCCCUCCUUUAAUAACAAUUUCAUUGGCAAGUAUCUAUAGACUAUAAAUAUGCAGUUUGGGUUGUCGCUAAGGUCAGUUGAGUAAGAGAAGAAGCAUUUGCAAAAGAGACAUAACAUGUAAAGUCAAAUGUCCCCUUGAGUUCCCUUAAACGCUUCAUUGUUCAUACUUUGUUAUCAUCUAUCGAUCGAUCAAUCAAUCUGAUGAACACUGAAGUGUUUGGGGGGACUCUAGGUGACAUCUUGGCACCCACAGGCUAUAUUAAUUAUCGAGCGGUGUAGUCAACGGUUGAGGUGAGUUAUGAGCCUUUUCAUGAAGAAGAUAAGUAAUGUGGUUGGUUAUUGAUCUAUCAUUCAUGAGUGAGUCAUUUCAUUUGUUAGUUAUACAAUUUGUUUCAA